This 395-nucleotide long non-coding RNA is filed under the name Rattus norvegicus (Norway rat). RNAcentral's name for it is "long non-coding RNA NONRATT003730". The record is from RNAcentral. Lineage: Eukaryota; Metazoa; Chordata; Mammalia; Rodentia; Muridae.
UGCUUGUUAGUAGGAACCUACAUUAAACAUCUCUACGAAGUGCAAGAGAGAAGCAGUUUUAUUUGCAUAUGGAUUUAAAACAAUAUACACACCAAAGCAAACGUACCUUUAGCUGUCUUAGGCUUUCCAAGAUUUUAAAGAAGAAGUAUCCUUUUGGUAUACUCAAAUGGGAACGUAGUCAUUUGCAGUCUCAAGCCUCACAGGAAAGGAAGUUGGGUUCUCUAACACACGUGGGUGAACGUCAGAACUAUGGGCACACUGACGAACUGCUGCACCCUGAGUUCUGCUGGUUGGGUGCAGGAAGCAUAGCAACAAGGAAAUGCCUAGCUCAGGAAGGGGGCCAAGUGUUACUUGCCUGUGGGUCAUGUGCUGGUACUAAAUGCUGGUUUCAUUCU